RNAcentral lists this transfer RNA (75 nucleotides) under Priestia megaterium. RNAcentral's name for it is "tRNA-Ala". It matches the Rfam family "tRNA". From Rfam's summary of the family: Transfer RNA (tRNA) molecules are approximately 80 nucleotides in length. Their secondary structure includes four short double-helical elements and three loops (D, anti-codon, and T loops). The record is from RNAcentral. Lineage: Bacteria; Bacillati; Bacillota; Bacilli; Caryophanales; Bacillaceae.
GGGGCCUUAGCUCAGUUGGAGAGCGCCUGCCUUGCACGCAGGAGGUCAGCGGUUCGAUCCCGCUAGGCUCCACCA